CACACCGCCCGUCACACCAUGGGAGCGGGUUCUGCCAGAAGUAGUUAGCCUAACCGCAAGGAGGGCGACUACCACGGUGAGAUUCAUGACUGGGGUG
Molecule: ribosomal RNA, 97 nt
Filed under: uncultured bacterium
Lineage: Bacteria
Description: partial 16S ribosomal RNA
Rfam family: Bacterial small subunit ribosomal RNA
Source: RNAcentral